RNAcentral lists this ribosomal RNA (2177 nucleotides) under Salmonella enterica. RNAcentral's name for it is "partial 23S ribosomal RNA". It matches the Rfam family "Bacterial large subunit ribosomal RNA", at positions 641 to 2802 of the family's 2925-position model. Lineage: Bacteria; Pseudomonadati; Pseudomonadota; Gammaproteobacteria; Enterobacterales; Enterobacteriaceae. The record is from RNAcentral.
CAAGGUUAACCGAAUAGGGGAGCCGGAGGGAAACCGAGUCUUAACCGGGCGUUAAGUUGCAGGGUAUAGACCCGAAACCCGGUGAUCUAGCCAUGGGCAGGUUGAAGGUUGGGUAACACUAACUGGAGGACCGAACCGACUAAUGUUGAAAAAUUAGCGGAUGACCUGUGGCUGGGGGUGAAAGGCCAAUCAAACCGGGAGAUAGCUGGUUCUCCCCGAAAGCUAUUUAGGUAGCGCCUCGUGAAUUCAUCUCCGGGGGUAGAGCACUGUUUCGGCUAGGGGGCCAUCCCGGCUUACCAACCCGAUGCAAACUGCGAAUACCGGAGAAUGUUAUCACGGGAGACACACGGCGGGUGCUAACGUCCGUCGUGAAGAGGGAAACAACCCAGACCGCCAGCUAAGGUCCCAAAGUCAUGGUUAAGUGGGAAACGAUGUGGGAAGGCCCAGACAGCCAGGAUGUUGGCUUAGAAGCAGCCAUCAUUUAAAGAAAGCGUAAUAGCUCACUGGUCGAGUCGGCCUGCGCGGAAGAUGUAACGGGGCUAAACCAUGCACCGAAGCUGCGGCAGCGACACUGUGUGUUGUUGGGUAGGGGAGCGUUCUGUAAGCCUGUGAAGGUGUGUCGUGAGGCAUGCUGGAGGUAUCAGAAGUGCGAAUGCUGACAUAAGUAACGAUAAAGCGGGUGAAAAGCCCGCUCGCCGGAAGACCAAGGGUUCCUGUCCAACGUUAAUCGGGGCAGGGUGAGUCGACCCCUAAGGCGAGGCCGAAAGGCGUAGUCGAUGGGAAACGGGUUAAUAUUCCCGUACUUGGUGUUACUGCGAAGGGGGGACGGAGAAGGCUAUGUUGGCCGGGCGACGGUUGUCCCGGUUUAAGCGUGUAGGUGUGUGUUCCAGGUAAAUCCGGUUCACUUUAACACUGAGGCGUGACGACGAGGCACUACGGUGCUGAAGCAACAAAUGCCCUGCUUCCAGGAAAAGCCUCUAAGCAUCAGGUAACAUCAAAUCGUACCCCAAACCGACACAGGUGGUCAGGUAGAGAAUACCAAGGCGCUUGAGAGAACUCGGGUGAAGGAACUAGGCAAAAUGGUGCCGUAACUUCGGGAGAAGGCACGCUGACACGUAGGUGAAGUGAUUUACUCAUGGAGCUGAAGUCAGUCGAAGAUACCAGCUGGCUGCAACUGUUUAUUAAAAACACAGCACUGUGCAAACACGAAAGUGGACGUAUACGGUGUGACGCCUGCCCGGUGCCGGAAGGUUAAUUGAUGGGGUCAGCGCAAGCGAAGCUCCUGAUCGAAGCCCCGGUAAACGGCGGCCGUAACUAUAACGGUCCUAAGGUAGCGAAAUUCCUUGUCGGGUAAGUUCCGACCUGCACGAAUGGCGUAAUGAUGGCCAGGCUGUCUCCACCCGAGACUCAGUGAAAUUGAACUCGCUGUGAAGAUGCAGUGUACCCGCGGCAAGACGGAAAGACCCCGUGAACCUUUACUAUAGCUUGACACUGAACAUUGAGCCUUGAUGUGUAGGAUAGGUGGGAGGCUUUGAAGUGUGGACGCCAGUCUGCAUGGAGCCGACCUUGAAAUACCACCCUUUAAUGUUUGAUGUUCUAACGUGGACCCGUUACCCGGGUUGCGGACAGUGUCUGGUGGGUAGUUUGACUGGGGCGGUCUCCUCCUAAAGAGUAACGGAGGAGCACGAAGGUUGGCUAAUCCUGGUCGGACAUCAGGAGGUUAGUGCAAUGGCAUAAGCCAGCUUGACUGCGAGCGUGACGGCGCGAGCAGGUGCGAAAGCAGGUCAUAGUGAUCCGGUGGUUCUGAAUGGAAGGGCCAUCGCUCAACGGAUAAAAGGUACUCCGGGGAUAACAGGCUGAUACCGCCCAAGAGUUCAUAUCGACGGCGGUGUUUGGCACCUCGAUGUCGGCUCAUCACAUCCUGGGGCUGAAGUAGGUCCCAAGGGUAUGGCUGUUCGCCAUUUAAAGUGGUACGCGAGCUGGGUUUAGAACGUCGUGAGACAGUUCGGUCCCUAUCUGCCGUGGGCGCUGGAGAACUGAGGGGGGCUGCUCCUAGUACGAGAGGACCGGAGUGGACGCAUCACUGGUGUUCGGGUUGUCAUGCCAAUGGCACUGCCCGGUAGCUAAAUGCGGAAGAGAUAAGUGCUGAAAGCAUCUAAGCACGAAACUUGCCCCGA